Long non-coding RNA from Salvia miltiorrhiza (redroot sage), 157 nucleotides. RefSeq lists it as uncharacterized. The transcript is spliced from 2 exons. The record is from RefSeq and is a predicted model, not a curated record. Lineage: Eukaryota; Viridiplantae; Streptophyta; Magnoliopsida; Lamiales; Lamiaceae.
CCGCCGAAUCCCGCCAGAGACCUGACGCCGUCGCCGAAUUCCGCCAGAGACUCGCCGCAAAGGAGUGGUUCGGUCCAGUCCAGGAGUGUACUCUUGAUUUGUGAGGAAAAGAGGAAGAAGUCGUGCCGCGGUCAAUAAGAAAAAGGAUUGAGAAAAA